GGGGAAUAUUGCACAAUGGGGGAAACCCUGAUGCAGCGACGCCGCGUGGAGGAAGAAGGUCUUCGGAUUGUAAACUCCUGUUGUUGAGGAAGAUAAUGACGGUACUCAACAAGGAAGUGACGGCUAACUACGUGCCAGCAGCCGCGGUAAAACGUAGGUCACAAGCGUUGUCCGGAAUUACUGGGUGUAAAGGGAGCGCAGGCGGGAAGACAAGUUGGAAGUGAAAUCCAUGGGCUCAACCCAUGAACUGCUUUCAAAACUGUUUUUCUUGAGUAGUGCAGAGGUAGGCGGAAUUCCCGGUGUAGCGGUGGAAUGCGUAGAUAUCGGGAGGAACACCAGUGGCGAAGGCGGCCUACUGGGCACCAACUGACGCUGAGGCUCGAAAGUGUGGGUAGCAAACAGGAUUAGAUACCCUGGUAGUCCACACCGUAAACGAUGAUUACUAGGUGUUGGAGGAUUGACCCCUUCAGUGCCGCAGUUAACACAAUAAGUAAUCCACCUGGGGAGUACGACCGCAAGGUUGAAACUCAAAGGAAUUGACGGGGGCCCGCACAAGCAGUGGAGUAUGUGGUUUAAUUCGACGCAACGCGAAGAACCUUACCAAGUCUUGACAUCCCUUGACAGACAUAGAAAUAUGUAUUCUCUUCGGAGCAAGGAGACAGGUGGUGCAUGGUUGUCGUCAGCUCGUGUCGUGAGAUGUUGGGUUAAGUCCCGCAACGAGCGCAACCCUUAUGGUCAGUUACUACGCAAGAGGACUCUGGCCAGACUGCCGUUGACAAAACGGAGGAAGGUGGGGAUGACGUCAAAUCAUCAUGCCCUUUAUGACUUGGGCUACACACGUACUACAAUGGCGUUAAACAAAGAGAAGCAAGACCGCGAGGUGGAGCAAAACUCAGAAACAACGUCCCAGUUCGGACUGCAGGCUGCAACUCGCCUGCACGAAGUCGGAAUUGCUAGUAAUCGUGGAUCAGCAUGCCACGGUGAAUACGUUCCCG
This 995-nucleotide ribosomal RNA is filed under the name uncultured bacterium. Its description in RNAcentral is "bacterial SSU rRNA". It matches the Rfam family "Bacterial small subunit ribosomal RNA", at positions 356 to 1376 of the family's 1533-position model. The record is from RNAcentral.